AGAAUCAACGCUGGCGGCGUGCCUAACACAUGCAAGUCGAACGAGAAAGGGGAGCAAUCCCUGAGUACAGUGGCGACCGGGUGAGUAACACGUGACUAACCUACCCUCGAGUGUGGAAUAACAUCGGGAAACCGAUGCUAAUACCGCAUAACAUCGCAAGAUCAAAGGAGUAAUCCGCUUGAGGAGGGGGUCGCGGCUGAUUAGCUAGUUGGCGGGGUAAUGGCCCACCAAGGCGAAGAUCGGUAUCCGGCCUGAGAGGGCGCACGGACACACUGGAACUGAAACACGGUCCAGACUCCUACGGGAGGUAGCAGUGGGGAAUUUUGCGCAAUGGGGGAAACCCUGACGCAGCAACGCCGCGUGGAGGAUGAAGCCCCUUGGGGCGUAAACUCCUUUCGACCAAGACGAUAAUGACGGUACUGGUGGAAGAAGCACCGGCUAACUCUGCGCCAGCAGCCGC
RNAcentral lists this ribosomal RNA (460 nucleotides) under uncultured bacterium. RNAcentral describes it as "SSU rRNA". It matches the Rfam family "Bacterial small subunit ribosomal RNA", at positions 26 to 518 of the family's 1533-position model. The record is from RNAcentral.